CAGAAGAUAUUCUAAUUUAGGAUCCCGGCUUUGGGGGCGGGGGGUGGGAAUUAUAUUUCUCUCUUCUGA
This 69-nucleotide transfer RNA is filed under the name Neocyema erythrosoma. Its description in RNAcentral is "tRNA-Pro". The record is from RNAcentral. Lineage: Eukaryota; Metazoa; Chordata; Actinopteri; Anguilliformes; Cyematidae.